UCACUUUGAAACACCGAUUCUGAUACGAUCACCGAAGUUAAGCAACGCCGUGACUGGUCAGUGCCUAGAUGGGUGACCGCUUCGGAAUACCAGGUGAUGUAA
Molecule: non-coding RNA, 102 nt
Organism: Acanthosepion pharaonis
Lineage: Eukaryota; Metazoa; Mollusca; Cephalopoda; Sepiida; Sepiidae
Source: the annotation of a GenBank genome assembly